RNAcentral lists this ribosomal RNA (364 nucleotides) under uncultured bacterium. RNAcentral describes it as "bacterial SSU rRNA". It matches the Rfam family "Bacterial small subunit ribosomal RNA", at positions 282 to 658 of the family's 1533-position model. The record is from RNAcentral.
GGUAGCCGGCCUGAGAGGGCGACCGGCCACACUGGGACUGAGACACGGCCCAGACUCCUACGGGAGGCAGCAGUGGGGAAUAUUGGGCAAUGGAGGAAACUCUGACCCAGCGACGCCGCGUGCGGGAUGAAGGCCUUCGGGUUGUAAACCGCUUUCAGUAGGGAAGAAGCGAAAGUGACGGUACCUACAGAAGAAGCACCGGCUAACUAUGUGCCAGCAGCCGCGGUAAUACAUAGGGUGCAAGCGUUGUCCGGAAUUAUUGGGCGUAAAGAGCUCGUAGGUGGUUUGAUACGUCGGGUGUGAAAUUCAGGGGCUCAACCCCUGACCUGCAUUCGAUACGGUCAAGCUAGAGUUUGGUAGGGGA